GACGAACGCUGGCGGCGUGCUUAACACAUGCAAGUCGAACGGAAGGGCCCUGCCUUUGUGGGGUGCUCGAGUGGCGAACGGGUGAGUAACACGUGAGUAACCUGCCCUUGACUUUGGGAUAACUUCAGGAAACUGGGGCUAAUACCGGAUAGGAGCUCCUGCUGCAUGGUGGGGGUUGGAAAGUUUCGGCGGUUGGGGAUGGACUCGCGGCUUAUCAGCUUGUUGGUGGGGUAGUGGCUUACCAAGGCUUUGACGGGUAGCCGGCCUGAGAGGGUGACCGGCCACAUUGGGACUGAGAUACGGCCCAGACUCCUACGGGAGGCAGCAGUGGGGAAUAUUGCACAAUGGGCGGAAGCCUGAUGCAGCAACGCCGCGUGCGGGAUGACGGCCUUCGGGUUGUAAACCGCUUUCGCCUGUGACGAAGCGUGAGUGACGGUAAUGGGUAAAGAAGCACCGGCUAACUACGUG
This 468-nucleotide ribosomal RNA is filed under the name uncultured bacterium. RNAcentral's name for it is "partial 16S ribosomal RNA". It matches the Rfam family "Bacterial small subunit ribosomal RNA", at positions 28 to 507 of the family's 1533-position model. The record is from RNAcentral.